UGGGCAGCUCUAAUGGACUCAGCAAGCAGC
RNAcentral lists this non-coding RNA (30 nucleotides) under Mus musculus (house mouse). Lineage: Eukaryota; Metazoa; Chordata; Mammalia; Rodentia; Muridae. The record is from RNAcentral.